Molecule: transfer RNA, 67 nt
Filed under: Nymphon australe
Lineage: Eukaryota; Metazoa; Arthropoda; Pycnogonida; Pantopoda; Nymphonidae
Description: tRNA-Trp
Source: RNAcentral
AAGAUUUUAAGUUAAUUAAACUAAUAUCCUUCAAAGAUUUAAAUAAAAGUAAAAUCCUUUAAAUCUU